RNAcentral lists this ribosomal RNA (908 nucleotides) under uncultured crenarchaeote. RNAcentral describes it as "bacterial SSU rRNA". It matches the Rfam family "Archaeal small subunit ribosomal RNA", at positions 4 to 920 of the family's 1478-position model. The record is from RNAcentral. Lineage: Archaea; Thermoproteati; Thermoproteota.
CCGGUUGAUCCUGCCGGACCUGACUGCUAUUGGAUUGAUAUUAAGCCAUGCAAGUCAUUGUAGCAAUACAAGGCAUACUGCUCAGUAACACGUAGUUAAUCUACCCUGUGGACGAGGAUAACCUCGGGAAACUGAGAAUAAUACUCGAUAGAUCAUUAUGCUUGGAAUAGUUUGUGAUUUAAAUGAUUUCGCCAUAGGAUGAGACUGCGGCCUAUCAGCUAGUUGGUGUGGUAAUGGCUCACCAAGGCUAUAACAGGUACGGGCUCUGAGAGGAGAAGCCCGGAGAUGGGUACUGAGACACUGACCCAGGCCCUAUGGGGCGCAGCAGGCGAGAAAACUUUGCAAUGUGCGAAAGCACGACAAGGUUAAUCCAAGUGAUUUCUGCUAAAGAAAUCUUUUGUUAGUUUUAAAAAUACUGAUGAAUAAGGGGUGGGCAAGUUCUGGUGUCAGCCGCCGCGGUAAAACCAGCACCUCAAGUGGUCAGGAUGAUUAUUGGGCCUAAAGCAUCCGUAGCCUGUUGUGUAAGUUUUCGGUUAAAUCCAUGUGCUUAACAUAUGGGCAGCUGGAAAUACUAUACGACUAGGGAGUGGGAGAGGUAGACGGUACUCGAUAGGAAGGGGUAAAAUCCUUUGAUCUAUUGAUGACCACCAGUGGCGAAGGCGGUCUACCAGAACACGUUCGACGGUGAGGGAUGAAAGCUGGGGGAGCAAACCGGAUUAGAUACCCGGGUAGUCCCAGCUGUAAACAAUGCAAACUCAGUGAUGCGUUGGCUUAUAGCUAACGCAGUGCUGCAGGGAAGCCGUUAAGUUUGCCGCCUGGGAAGUACGUACGCAAGUAUGAAACUUAAAGGAAUUGGCGGGGGAGCACCACAAGGGGUGAAGCCUGCGGUUCAAUUGGAGUCAACGCCG